This 806-nucleotide unclassified non-coding RNA is filed under the name Drosophila virilis. RNAcentral's name for it is "GJ10248". The record is from RNAcentral. Lineage: Eukaryota; Metazoa; Arthropoda; Insecta; Diptera; Drosophilidae.
CUAAUUUAAACUUUUCGGCAGGAAAUUUGAAAUAAAAUUGUUCAUGAUUUUUAGAUGUUUUCUUAGCUUACGGAAAUGAAGUUGGACAAAAAUAAGCUCGCGUCGAGACCUCGGCUGCUGUUCACAGUUGGCGGCUACUUGGACACACUGUUGAGUCGUAUAUUCUGUUUCCUAGUUCUGAGCGCAAUAGCUUUGCUGAUUAUCUUUACCGUUGUCGUUGCCAUGGACGAUAUAGCCAAGCUAAGGAAAAGACAAAACUUGCGCUUGGAAAACUGUAGCGAGAACAAAACACGCAACGGUCGUUGUUAUUGGCCCUCGGAUUGGUGUCGCAUUCUGUACAAUUGCGACUGGAAAGAGCCAAUGCGCAGGCAAUCGACUUCCAAACAACAACAGACCCAGCAACUACAGCCAGACGUACCGCCGUGCUCAACAGCAGUGCAUAGUAAGUCUGAAAUUAUAAAGUUCCUGGUGCAUCAACACCCACGAAAAGAAGUGGAGCAACAGCCGCCUGUCGCCAACGAAGUACUGGAGGUGCCUUUCAACUUGGAGCAACUGGACACAUCGUAAAAAAAAUUGCUUUUUUUUGGGGUUUCCCAAUUCCCAACUAUGAGGCGAGCAACAAGCAACUCUCAAAUGGCGACUAGUAUUAUUGCAUUACCUGACGUCCGGCAUUCGACCUUUUUUUUUUGCUCGAUUGACAAAGCUGUUGCUUUCAUUCUGGAAAUUCAAGGACCAAGUCCACAAUCCGAACGCAAUUUUUAAGCAAAUUGACAAAUUGUUUACAUGAAAAUACAAAUUUUUAGAGA